Long non-coding RNA from Salvia splendens (bonfire salvia), 1681 nucleotides. RefSeq lists it as uncharacterized. The record is from RefSeq and is a predicted model, not a curated record. The transcript has 3 exons. NCBI's taxonomy places the organism in Eukaryota, Viridiplantae, Streptophyta, Magnoliopsida, Lamiales, Lamiaceae.
UUGUGAAAUACAAUUAUUGGAAGAAGGGAAUGCCAAGAAUUUUAUACAAGUGGGAAUAAUGGAAGCCACUUUUCACCUAUAGGACUACACCUUGCAUAAUUGGAAUGCUUAGGUACAUAUGUUGUGCAACUAAGAAAAGGUCCACUCCUACUUUAUAAAGUCUAGCCUAUAUAGGAAGAUAAAUUAAGAAAAAGACAAUUGAUAAAGGAAGUUGAUCUAUGAGGAGAUCUCUUCCAUGUCCUUCUCGGUUCCUACACCCUCACAACAAGCCAAAGAUCUUCUCCAACCUAUCAAAUGAGACACAAAAAUAGUAAGAUUUUUACCCAACCAAAAUUCACAAGUGUACAACAAAUGCAUCAAAUAAAGGAGAGAAAUGAUGCUUGGUGAUUUCCAUAUCUUCUCAAAGAAGUAAUAGAAACUAAGGACCAAGUGAUGGUGAGCUCAUCUCCUUAACUCUCCCCAAUGCCUUACACCGAUUAGGAAAGAUGCUCUUUUACCAUGCUAAAGGGUGAGGGAAUCCAUAGCUAGAAAUACAAGAGCACCCUUCCCAAUACUUACACCAAAUGGGUAGUGAAACUUUUAGCCUAAAUUCAAAAAAGAUGAGGGAAUCUUUAUCCAAAAUUAGCCACAAAAUACCAAGACUUUUCUCUUAUAAAAGCAAACAAUCACCACUCCUCCUUCACCACUUUCCAACACCAUAAAUUUCAGAAUAGAAGCAAGAGUGAGGAGUGGGAGCAAUCAGCGGAGAAAUCUAGAAACCAAGGGGAACACCAAAGCAAGGCUAUCUCCGCGAGUUAAGGGUGGAGUCAGGAAAAUUCAAGUUACGGAGUUUUAAGCAAAUAAGGUGGGCUUUCUAGUUACUAUACAGUUUUUACGAAAAGUAUUUUACGAGCUUUCUAUAUUGAUAUAUGAUUAUGGGCUUUAUUUUAGAAUUGAGAAAAUAGCUUUGAAGUAUGAUUUCAGUUGUUUGCAGUAUGUGCAGUUAUUUACAAAAAGUGAGAGUGAUGUUAUUUAUAUUAUGUGACAUUAUGUGUUACUUAACGAGUACACAUGAACGGUUAGCCUUUGUCGACAUUGUGUUCGGCUUUGACCCAUAAAAAUGAGUUUUGAUUCAAAUAGGUUUACGAGAAAAAUGAAGUUUUGAAAGUUAUGACAAGCCAGGUUUUGUUUUGAACUUUGCCUAUCUGAAUGUCUAGCAAGGACGAUGUCCCUACUAGACCAGGAGUUAGUGAAUUCGGUUCACCAGGAGUUUUGUGAAUUCAAUUCACCAGGAGUUUUGUGAAUAUGUUUCACCAUGAGUUUUGUGAAUUUAUUUCACCAGGCGUUUCAUGAAUUCGUUUCAUCAGGAGUUGUGUGAAUACGUUUCACCAGGAGUUUCAUGAAUACGUUUCACCAGGAGUUGUGUGAAUACGUUUCACCAGGAGUUUCGUGAAUACGUUUCACCAGGGGUUUUGUGAAUUCAUUUCACCAGGAGUUUCGUGAAUUCAUUUCAAUAGGAGGUUGAGGAGUGAUGAUGGUGGGCGGUGUUGGUCACAGACGAUGAAGAUUCUUCGAUAGAAUAGUACUUGGAUGUGUCGUGUCUGCUCUUGACUCUUCCGCUGCAAUGUAAAAAUCUAGUUUACAUUCUUUGUAUCAUGCACUCUGAUUUAUAUUUAUUCCAAGUUAUUUCAGUUCAUGUUCA